Molecule: ribosomal RNA, 465 nt
Filed under: uncultured bacterium
Lineage: Bacteria
Description: partial 16S ribosomal RNA
Rfam family: Bacterial small subunit ribosomal RNA
Source: RNAcentral
GAUGAACGCUGGCGGCGUGCUUAACACAUGCAAGUCGAACGGAAAGGCUCCUGCUUGCAGGGGUACUCGAGUGGCGAACGGGUGAGUAACACGUGGGUGAUCUGCCCUGCACUUCGGGAUAAGCCUGGGAAACUGGGGCUAAUACCGGAUAGGACGAUGGUUUGGAUGCCAUUGUGGAAAGUUUUUCGGUGUGGGAUGAGCUCGCGGCCUAUCAGCUUGUUGGUGGGGUAAUGGCCUACCAAGGCGUCGACGGGUAGCCGGCCUGAGAGGGUGUACGGCCACAUUGGGACUGAGAUACGGCCCAGACUCCUACGGGAGGCAGCAGUGGGGAAUAUUGCACAAUGGGCGGAAGCCUGAUGCAGCGACGCCGCGUGGGGGAUGACGGCCUUCGGGUUGUAAACUGCUUUCGCUAGGGACGAAGCGCAAGUGACGGUACCUGGAGAAGAAGCACCGGCUAACUACGUG